ACUAACAAGGAUUCCCCUAGUAACUGCGAGUGAAGAGGGAAAAGCUCAAAUUUAAAAUCUGGCGGGCUCUGUCCGUCCGAGUUGUAAUCUGGAGAAGCGUUUUCCGCGUCGGACCGUGCACAAGUCUCCUGGAACGGAGCGUCAUAGAGGGUGAGAAUCCCGUCCAUGGCACGGACCGCCGAUGCUCUGUGAUACGUUUUCAAAGAGUCGAGUUGUUUGGGAAUGCAGCUCAAAACGGGUGGUAAAUUCCAUCUAAAGCUAAAUAUUGGCGAGAGACCGAUAGCGAACAAGUACCGUGAGGGAAAGAUGAAAAGCACUUUGGAAAGAGAGUUAAACAGUACGUGAAAUUGUUGAAAGGGAAACGCUUGAAGUCAGUCGCGUCCGACGGAACUCAGCCUUGCUUCGGCCUGGUGUACUUUCCGUCGGACGGGUCAACAUCAGUUUUGAUCGGUGGAAAAAGGUGGGGGGAAUGUAGCGCCGCUUCGGCGGCGUGUUAUAGCCCCUCGCUGUAUGCACCGGUCGGGACUGAGGACCGCAGCACGCCUUUUUGGCCGGGGGCUCGCGCCCUACGUACCGUGCUUAGGAUGUUGGCAUAAUGGCUUU
Molecule: ribosomal RNA, 603 nt
Filed under: Phellinus tuberculosus
Lineage: Eukaryota; Fungi; Basidiomycota; Agaricomycetes; Hymenochaetales; Hymenochaetaceae
Description: eukaryotic LSU rRNA
Rfam family: Eukaryotic large subunit ribosomal RNA
Source: RNAcentral